This 433-nucleotide ribosomal RNA is filed under the name uncultured bacterium. RNAcentral describes it as "partial 16S ribosomal RNA". It matches the Rfam family "Bacterial small subunit ribosomal RNA", at positions 29 to 507 of the family's 1533-position model. The record is from RNAcentral.
AACGAACGCUGGCGGCAUGCCUAACACAUGCAAGUCGAACGAGGCCUUCGGGUCUAGUGGCGCACGGGUGCGUAACGCGUGGGAACCUGCCCUUAGGUUCGGAAUAACUCCCCGAAAGGGGUGCUAAUACCGGAUAAUGUCUUCGGACCAAAGAUUUAUCGCCUUUGGAUGGGCCCGCGUUGGAUUAGCUAGUUGGUAGGGUAAAAGCCUACCAAGGCGACGAUCCAUAGCUGGUCUGAGAGGAUGAUCAGCCACACUGGGACUGAGACACGGCCCAGACUCCUACGGGAGGCAGCAGUGGGGAAUAUUGGACAAUGGGCGAAAGCCUGAUCCAGCAAUGCCGCGUGAGUGAUGAAGGCCCUAGGGUUGUAAAGCUCUUUUACCCGGGAUGAUAAUGACAGUACCGGGAGAAUAAGCUCCGGCUAACUCCGUG